This 1702-nucleotide long non-coding RNA is filed under the name Ornithorhynchus anatinus (platypus). RNAcentral describes it as "lncRNA (ENSOANG00000037440.1)". The record is from RNAcentral. Lineage: Eukaryota; Metazoa; Chordata; Mammalia; Monotremata; Ornithorhynchidae.
CUUCUCUUCCCUCCAUUCUCCUUCCCCCAGCUGGAAUGAGUAACAUUCUGGCUCUGCUUCUAGAAGCCCUAACUCCUAAAUUAACACCCAAAAAAAGAAAGAAAAAUGGAACCCAAUCCAAGCCCCAGAAUAAGUAAAAGUAUGGUUUUUACUAGACAACAGCACCAUCGCCAUUACUGGGAGGAAGGCGGCAGCACACUUGGCUGUCAGCACACGGGGGAACAAUGGUCCAGUAUCUGACUCUGAGGGAACUAAAGAAGUAGGUUUGCCGAUUUUCUCAUCAGAGGAUCAAAGGACCCUGCAGCCGCUCCAGCCCAGCACCGAAAAGCUCUGAAUGGAGGGCGUUGUGUGGAGAGAGGCGACUGGGAAACGGGAAAGGCUGUUCCUGCUGCUCUCCCAUCCGCCUCCCAUUGGCCUGAAUUGGUCUUGUGAGCCAACAAAGAAAAGUCACUUCCACCUUGGAGAGAAAUUUGUCUCGGUUUGCAUCUGCUCCAGUUGUCACUUCACCCAGCUUCUCUCUUCUGCUGUUGGCCUUGCCCUGUGGGUUCGACCCAGGGGGACAGAGGAAAAUGGACUGGGAAUUAAUCAGCCAUCUUUCUGGCAGCAUAACUAUUGGUGUGGUUGGUGACCAAAGAGAAGCAGCAUGGCCUAAUGGAAAGAUCAUGGGCUUGGGAGUCAGAGGGUCUGGGUUCUAACCAAAGAUCUGCCAUUGCUUGCUGUGUGACCUUGGGUAAGUCAAUUAAUUUUUUGAUCCCUCACCUUCCCUAACUGUAAAUUAGGGAUUAAAUACCUUUCAUUCAUUCAAUCAUAUUUCCUGAGCGUUUACUGUGUGUGGAGCACUUUACUAAGUGCUUGGAAGAGUACAAUACAUCAAUAAACACAUAGACAUAUCUCUGUUCUCCCUCCUACUUAGACUACUGAGCACCACGUGGGAAAGAGACUGAGUCCGACAAAAAAAUUUAUCUACCCCACAGCUCAGAACAGUGCUUGCUAAAUGAGUGCUUAAAUACCAUAAUAAUAACAAAAAAGGAGCUGCAAAUGCUGGAUUAAAUUUUACAGGAUAAUAGAGAACUCUCAAAGGGCAGGGCUGAGGGUGCCUAUCACCUUACGGAUAUUUUCCUGACUGGGUCCUACUAUGCUGAUUUCUCAUGUUGGCAUCAGAGAAGAACGUGCCAACAUGAUGCAGGUAUUUUGGCUGCAGCCACAAGGCACCUGAGGGACAUUUCGGUUCAGCAGUGAAUGAAGCCAACACUUGGGAGGUUCCGGGAGCCUGGGGCUGUUCCUCCUUCCUCUCUUUUCCCACCUGUGUCUCUGCAGGUGUGUCUCCUGACCUCUUGAGAAGCCUGAUACUAUAUCCAGGAUAAACUGGUAGUUCUUAGAGGCAGGAAAUGCCCUGCUGCAACAGAGAUUAAAAAAAUGACUUAAGAGCAUGACAGCUGUGAAUUUGAGUUCAGGAGCUUCCAAUGCCAUGAAAGGUGAUUUAGGAACCUCGGUGAAAGAGAAGGGUCAUUUGGUCCAUUGACAGUGGUAUGUUGGCUUUACACACUGCCCAUAACCAUUGCCAACCUUCACAUGCUUGGUCUGAGAUUCCUCUUUGCACAUCUUGUGAAGCACUGGAAAUAACCUUCCAAUUUUGGCAGUACUUGAAAUAUACAACAAUUCCCCAGCUCUCAGCUCCUUUGCUAGAAAGUCAUCAUAUUGG